This 78-nucleotide transfer RNA is filed under the name Dreissena polymorpha. RNAcentral describes it as "tRNA-Gly". Lineage: Eukaryota; Metazoa; Mollusca; Bivalvia; Myida; Dreissenidae. The record is from RNAcentral.
GUGUGGUAGUCGAGUGCUAACACUCUGGUCUACCAUUCCAGAGGUCCCCGGUUCAAUCUUUUGCCGGGCCACUGGACA